RNAcentral lists this transfer RNA (72 nucleotides) under Capsicum annuum. It matches the Rfam family "tRNA". From Rfam's summary of the family: Transfer RNA (tRNA) molecules are approximately 80 nucleotides in length. Their secondary structure includes four short double-helical elements and three loops (D, anti-codon, and T loops). Lineage: Eukaryota; Viridiplantae; Streptophyta; Magnoliopsida; Solanales; Solanaceae. The record is from Rfam by way of RNAcentral.
GUAUCUGUGGUGCAAUGAAAGCGUGUCUAGUUCCAGAUCAGAAGGUUACAUGUUUGAUUCACGUCGGGUUCA